This is a long non-coding RNA of Sarcophilus harrisii (Tasmanian devil), 765 nucleotides long. RefSeq lists it as uncharacterized. Lineage: Eukaryota; Metazoa; Chordata; Mammalia; Dasyuromorphia; Dasyuridae. The transcript is spliced from 3 exons. The record is from RefSeq and is a predicted model, not a curated record.
UUCUACAGAAUUAUCUUCUGUUCUCACUAACAAAAGGUAUUAAAGCUUUUUUUUUUUUUUUUAAGUUCACCAUACUUUGGAUCAAAUAUCUCUUUAGAUUGACUCCCAACUCCCCAUUUAUUGGCCAUCUAUUACUUGGGAUCCAGUAAUCAAACCACACAAUUACCGUAUCCACUUUUAGGCUUUAUUUUCUUUUCUCUUAACUUGUCUCAUCUAGUCCUUCUGCUUCCAGACCUGCAUCCUCCUGUACUGGGUCAUCCUGGAAAACCUGUGUUGCUCCUCUGCCACUUAGCUGCAGAAAUCUCCUUCCUUGGAGACAGCUAGCAAUCUGGGCCUUUCACUAAGGCCUUGCUGUAUGGGAUGGGACCCAAAUAUUCCUGCACUGGACAAGGAGGACUGAUGGAAGCUUGUGCUAAAAUGAAUCUUCCUGACUCCAGGCCUGGCACUCUAUCCACUGCAUUUUGAGAAUGAAGGACCAACAAAAAGCAACACUCACUGAUUUGAAUUGAAGGAAGGAUGGGAAGACAUGGAUUCGCUAUGAGAAGGAAGAAGGGCUUAUCAGAUAUGUGGAUGAUUAUUAGGAUUCAGAAGAGCCGAGUGGAGAUGAGGCAGAGAGGGCAUUCUGAUGGUGGGGGAAGGAAUGGCAAGAACAAGGGUCCAUGUUGAACUAGACUGUCCACGCCGGGCUUGUCACAGGAGUGGGCAGAAGACCCCGAUCCCGCUGCCCUGUGAGCCGACCGCUCGUCGGUCUAUCCGUCCAUCCAU